GAAGCUAUAGCCAGCAGACAGUUAGCUUAGCGCAGACUGGAAACAGGGACAUAGCUAGCGUGGCUGUGCCCGAAGGACGACUGAAGAAAGAUAAACUGGACACACUGGUGGGAUAGUGCCCAGCCAGCUGCCCUGAUAAUGAAAAACUCACUGAGCGGCAUCUGGUGGAUGAAGCGGAAGUGACACUCCAUCAUCUGGGUCCUGGCUAGUG
Molecule: long non-coding RNA, 211 nt
Organism: Thunnus maccoyii (southern bluefin tuna)
Lineage: Eukaryota; Metazoa; Chordata; Actinopteri; Scombriformes; Scombridae
Exons: 3
Source: RefSeq, a predicted model, not a curated record